UACAGAGGGUGCAAGCGUUAAUCGGAAUUACUGGGCGUAAAGGGCGCGUAGGUGGAAACGUCAGUGAAAUGUGAAAGACCCGAGCUUAACUUGGGGCUGUCAUCUCAUACUGCGUAUCUUGAGUAUGGGAGAGGGAAGUGGAAUUUCUGGUGUAGCGGUGAAAUGCGUAGAUAUCAGAAGGAACAUCCGUGGCGAAGGCGACUUCCUGGCCCAAUACUGACACUGAGGCGCGAAAGCGUGGGGAGCGAACAGG
Molecule: ribosomal RNA, 253 nt
Filed under: uncultured bacterium
Lineage: Bacteria
Description: partial 16S ribosomal RNA
Rfam family: Bacterial small subunit ribosomal RNA
Source: RNAcentral